Molecule: ribosomal RNA, 253 nt
Filed under: uncultured bacterium
Lineage: Bacteria
Description: partial 16S ribosomal RNA
Rfam family: Bacterial small subunit ribosomal RNA
Source: RNAcentral
UACAGAGGUCCCAAGCGUUGUUCGGAUUCACUGGGCGUAAAGGGUGCGUAGGUGGCCGGGUAAGUCUGAUGUGAAAUCUCCGAGCUUAACUCGGAAAUGGCAUUGGAUACUCUCCGGCUCGAGGAUUGGAGGGGAGACUGGAAUUCUCGGUGUAGCAGUGAAAUGCGUAGAUAUCGAGAGGAACACCAGUGGCGAAGGCGAGUCUCUAGACAAUUCCUGACACUGAGGCACGAAAGCUAGGGGAGCAAACAGG